Molecule: long non-coding RNA, 537 nt
Filed under: Durio zibethinus
Lineage: Eukaryota; Viridiplantae; Streptophyta; Magnoliopsida; Malvales; Malvaceae
Description: long non-coding RNA (DZIB_LNC000816)
Source: RNAcentral
AAAAUAAAUUAGUUUUCUGAAUCAGUUCAAAUAUUUGUGGUCAUUUGAACAACCAUCUAUUUCAAAUCGUUAUUCGCUUGCCCGAAUCGGCGGACUUCAGACCUCUAUCUGACAAGAGUACCGUCGUGUUGUGGCACUUUAUUUUAUUUUGGCUCAGAAGGGUUCUGCCUCCUCUAACUCUCCCUGGGUACGGGUUUCCCUUCACUAGGAUCCCUCGACUGUGGAAUCCUUUCGAUCUCUCUCUCCACUCUUUCAAUGAGGCACUCUCCUCCUUUCCUUCCCUCUCUAGCUGGCUUGACCCUUGACUCCGCUACCGGAGAAGAGUCCUUGUGUCCCUUGCGCGGGGGAUGCCUCUUCCAUUAGUGCUCCUUCCUCCGAUGCCUCCGCUCGGUCAACCGUCUCUGGAAUUGCUUUGGUCAUGAAACAAUUGUUUUUCAACAUACAUGCUCAUUUAAGAUAAAAUAAUACUAAUUUAUUAAUAUUUCAAGAAUUAGUAUGAGAUUUAAAAAAUAAAGUUGUUUACCAAACCAAUUUAAA